GAUGAACGCUGGCGGCGUGCCUAAUACAUGCAAGUCGAGCGAACAGACGAGGAGCUUGCUCCUCUGACGUUAGCGGCGGACGGGUGAGUAACACGUGGAUAACCUACCUAUAAGACUGGGAUAACUUCGGGAAGCCGGAGCUAAUACCGGAUAAUAUAUUGAACCGCAUGGUUCAAUAGUGAAAGACGGUUUUGCUGUCACUUAUAGAUGGAUCCGCGCCGCAUUAGCUAGUUGGUAAGGUAACGGCUUACCAAGGCAACUAUGCGUAGCCGACCUGAGAGGGUGAUCGGCCACACUGGAACUGAGACACGGUCCAGACUCCUACGGGAGGCAGCAGUAGGGAAUCUUCCGCAAUGGGCGAAAGCCUGACGGAGCAACGCCGCGUGAGUGAUGAAGGUCUUCGGAUCGUAAAACUCUGUUAUUAGGGAAGAACAAAUGUGUAAGUAACUAUGCACGUCUUGACGGUACCUAAUCAGAAAGCCACGGCUAACUACGUG
Molecule: ribosomal RNA, 497 nt
Filed under: uncultured bacterium
Lineage: Bacteria
Description: partial 16S ribosomal RNA
Rfam family: Bacterial small subunit ribosomal RNA
Source: RNAcentral